UGGGGAAUAUUGGACAAUGGGCGAAAGCCUGAUCCAGCCAUGCCGCGUGUGUGAAGAAGGUCUUCGGAUUGUAAAGCACUUUAAGUUGGGAGGAAGGGUUGUAGAUUAAUACUCUGCAAUUUUGACGUUACCGACAGAAUAAGCACCGGCUAACUCUGU
RNAcentral lists this ribosomal RNA (159 nucleotides) under uncultured Pseudomonas sp. RNAcentral's name for it is "partial 16S ribosomal RNA". It matches the Rfam family "Bacterial small subunit ribosomal RNA", at positions 355 to 506 of the family's 1533-position model. Lineage: Bacteria; Pseudomonadati; Pseudomonadota; Gammaproteobacteria; Pseudomonadales; Pseudomonadaceae. The record is from RNAcentral.